RNAcentral lists this ribosomal RNA (492 nucleotides) under uncultured bacterium. Its description in RNAcentral is "partial 16S ribosomal RNA". It matches the Rfam family "Bacterial small subunit ribosomal RNA", at positions 29 to 507 of the family's 1533-position model. The record is from RNAcentral.
AGUGAACGCUGGCGGUAGGCCUAACACAUGCAAGUCGAACGGCAGCACAGUAAGAGCUUGCUCUUACGGGUGGCGAGUGGCGGACGGGUGAGGAAUACAUCGGAAUCUACUUUUUCGUGGGGGAUAACGUAGGGAAACUUACGCUAAUACCGCAUACGACCUACGGGUGAAAGCAGGGGAUCUUCGGACCUUGCGCGAUUGAAUGAGCCGAUGUCGGAUUAGCUAGUUGGCGGGGUAAAGGCCUACCAAGGCGACGAUCCGUAGCUGGUCUGAGAGGAUGAUCAGCCACACUGAAACUGAGACACGGUCCAGACUCCUACGGGAGGCAGCAGUGGGGAAUAUUGGACAAUGGGCGCAAGCCUGAUCCAGCCAUACCGCGUGGGUGAAGAAGGCCUUCGGGUUGUAAAGCCCUUUUGUUGGGAAAGAAAAGCAGCAGGUUAAUACCCCGCUGUUCUGACGGUACCCAAAGAAUAAGCACCGGCUAACUUCGUG